Molecule: ribosomal RNA, 497 nt
Filed under: uncultured bacterium
Lineage: Bacteria
Description: partial 16S ribosomal RNA
Rfam family: Bacterial small subunit ribosomal RNA
Source: RNAcentral
GAUGAACGCUGGCGGCGUGCCUAAUACAUGCAAGUCGAGCGAACAGACGAGGAGCUUGCUCCUCUGACGUUAGCGGCGGACGGGUGAGUAACACGUGGAUAACCUACCUAUAAGACUGGGAUAACUUCGGGAAACCGGAGCUAAUACCGGAUAAUAUAUUGAACCGCAUGGUUCAAUAGUGAAAGACGGUUUUGCUGUCACUUAUAGCUGGAUCCGCGCCGCAUUAGCUAGUUGGUAAGGUAACGGCUUACCAAGGCGACGAUGCGUAGCCGACCUGAGAGGGUGAUCGGCCUCACUGGAACGGAGACACGGUCCAGACUCCUACGGGAGGCAGCAGUAGGGAAUCUUCCGCAAUGGGCGAAAGCCUGACGGAGCAACGCCGCGUGAGUGAUGAAGGUCUUCGGAUCGUAAAACUCUGUUAUUAGGGAAGAACAAAUGUGUAAGUAACUAUGCACGUCUUGACGGUACCUAAUCAGAAAGCCACGGCUAACUACGUG